Molecule: unclassified non-coding RNA, 250 nt
Filed under: plant metagenome
Description: partial contains small subunit ribosomal RNA, internal transcribed spacer 1, and 5.8S ribosomal RNA
Source: RNAcentral
GUAGGUGAACCUGCGGAAGGAUCAUUACAACGUAUCCACGUAUCAACUCGAGAACUGUCCCCUUUAGAGUAAACACUUGUGGAUGGAGUUUAUGACUGAAUGACUUUCGCUGAUGGAGUUCACGGAUUUUUAUCUGAGAACUGAAAGGCUUUCGGUCGCUGGCUCAAACGCUUGCGUUUUUGCUGGGACUUCGUUUACUCUACUGCGGUUAUUACCAUCGGCGUCUGUUUCACUAUUAUUAACCCUUUGA